AAGGAGCACUUCUCACCGAUCCCUUCGGGGUGAGGUCAGAGGCCAGUUCAUCAGCGAACGUCUGAUGCUGGUUGCUCAAGGGUGGAACGUUGAUUAUUCGGCACUUCUGACUGUCUUCUCCUUCCAGUACUGCUCUUUAGAGCGUGGAACGUCGAGGGAAGCGGUGAGGGGUGCCGGGCACGCUGUUGGGUGUCUGAGGGUGCGAGCGUUGCUCGUUCCUUCGGUGCCGGCCCCAGUGCACUCGAACCGUAAGGGUUCGGGGUGAUGGGUGGCUGGUCGUUGUUUGAGAACUGCACAGUGGACGCGAGCAUCUGUGG
RNAcentral lists this unclassified non-coding RNA (317 nucleotides) under Streptomyces chiniscabies. RNAcentral describes it as "partial 16S-23S intergenic spacer". The record is from RNAcentral. Lineage: Bacteria; Bacillati; Actinomycetota; Actinomycetes; Kitasatosporales; Streptomycetaceae.